RNAcentral lists this long non-coding RNA (2030 nucleotides) under Homo sapiens (human). Its description in RNAcentral is "non-protein coding lnc-ZNF33A-5:1". The record is from RNAcentral. Lineage: Eukaryota; Metazoa; Chordata; Mammalia; Primates; Hominidae.
CAGGAAAUCCAGGACAGACAUAUCUGGCAAGCUCCAUAUAUCAACAAUAGAACACUGACUAUAGAGAGAGGUAACAUAGUAGGAAAAGUGUUUGAUUUCAGCAUACACCAACUUCCUUCCAUAAAAAUACCUUGUAAAUGUGACUUAUGUGGUAUGAGUUUGCAAUACAUUUCAGAUUUAUUUAAUAGUAAGAAAAACUAUUUAAGAAAGAUGCCUCAUGACCUCAGUGCAUAUGGAAAACUAUUCCUCAAUAGUAACCAUGAAAAAACUCAUAUGGAAGAGAAACCUUAUGAGUUUAUUCAAAAUGGAAAAUGUCUCAGUCAUAAGGAGGACUUCAUUUCAUAUCUGAGAAUUCAAAAUUUAGAGCAAUCUUUUGAAUAUAAGGAAUGUGAAAAGGAUUUCUAUGGAAAGGCAGUUUUCAUUACAUAUAAGCAAGCUUACACAGGAGCGAGUCCUUGUGUACACAAUGAAUGUAAUAAAGUGUUCUGUAAUAAUUCAACUCUCAUGGUCCAUAAAAUGUCAGAAAAAAGAGAAAACUUUUAUGAGUUUAAUGAAUAUGAAAAAACCUUUGAGAAGUCCCCUUUCUUGAAACAUAAAGUUCAUUUGGAGGUGAAACACUAUAAACAUAUUGAAAGUGUAGGAAUUUUAACAGAUCAAGCUUUCCUAACACAAGAGAGAAAAUAUUUGAAAGUAACAAAUCAGGGGAAGCUUUGUGCGAGAAGUCAGUACUUAAUGUAACUCAGAGAACACACAGAGGAGAGGAAGUCUGUGGAUGUGAGCCAUGUGUAAAACCAUUCUAUGAAAAGUCAAAGCUAACCAAACAUCAAAGAAUCCAUACAGGGGAGAAACCCUAUGAAUGUAAUAAAUGUGAAAAAUGCUUUUCUAGGAAAUCUCUCCUCACUCUACAUCAGAGAGUCCACACAGGAGAGAAACCCUAUGUAAGGAAUGUGGGAAAUGCUUUUCUAGGAAUUCACACCUCAUAAUACAUCAGAGAACUCACACAGGAGAGCAACCCUGUGAAUGCAAGGAAUGUAGAAAAAGCUUCUAUCAUAAGUCAUAUCUUACAGUACAUCAGAGAAUUCACACAGGGGAGAAACCCUAUGAAUGUAAUCAAUGUGGAAAAACCUUCAUAAGCAACUCUGUUCUCACAAUACAUCGUAAAACAUAUACAGGUGAGAAACCCUAUGAAUGUAAUGAAUGUGGGAAAUCUUUCUCUAGGAGUUCAUAUCUUACAAUACAUCAGAGAACUCACCCAGGCGAGAAACCCUAUGAAUGUAAGGUAUGUAGCAAAACCUUUUGCCACAAGUCUGAUGCCACUAAACAUCAGAAGACUCACCUAGGGGGAAAACCCUAUGAAUGUACUCAAUGUGGGAAAACUUUUAGUCGUAACUCAGGCCUAAAAGUACAUCAGAGAACACAUGCAAAGGAGAAACCCUAUGAAUAUACUGAGUGUGGGAAAUCCUUCUCUGAGAAAUCAGUCCUCACAGUACAUCAGAGAAUACACACAGGGGAAAAACCUUAUAAAUGUAAUGCACGUGGAAAAACCUUCUACAAUAAAUCAGACCUAACCAAACAUCAGAGAACACACACAGGUGAGAAGCCCUGUGAAUGUAAGGAAUGUGGGAAAUUCUUCUCUAGGAAUUCAUACCUUACAAUACACCAGAGAAUGCAUACAGGAGACAAACCCUAUGUGUGUAAAAAAUGUGGGAAAACCUUCUACCAUAAGGCAGACUAUACAGUACAUAAGAGAACACACAGAGGGGAGAAAUCUUAUUACUGUAAUAAAUGUGGGAAAACCUUUAUUUGCAACUCAGUCCUCAAAUCACAUCAGAGAACACACACAGGGGAGAAGCCCUAUGGAUGUAAUGAGUGUGGGAAGUCCUUCUCUGAGAAAUCAGUCCUUACUGUACAUCAGAGAAUACACACAGGGGAAAAACCUUAUAAAUGUAAUGAAUGAGGGAAGUCCUUCUAUCAUAAGUCAGAUCUCACUAAACAUUAGAGAACACAUACAGUAGAGAAACCCUAUGAAU